This 72-nucleotide transfer RNA is filed under the name Candidatus Falkowiibacteriota bacterium. RNAcentral describes it as "tRNA-Thr". It matches the Rfam family "tRNA". Rfam says of the family: Transfer RNA (tRNA) molecules are approximately 80 nucleotides in length. Their secondary structure includes four short double-helical elements and three loops (D, anti-codon, and T loops). Further hydrogen bonds mediate the characteristic L-shaped molecular structure. tRNAs have two regions of fundamental functional importance: the anti-codon, which is responsible for specific mRNA codon recognition, and the 3' end, to which the tRNAs corresponding amino acid is attached (by aminoacyl-tRNA synthetases). tRNAs cope with the degeneracy of the genetic code in two manners: having more than one tRNA (with a specific anti-codon) for a particular amino acid; and 'wobble' base-pairing, i.e. permitting non-standard base-pairing at the 3rd anti-codon position. Lineage: Bacteria; Candidatus Falkowiibacteriota. The record is from RNAcentral.
GCCAACGUAGCACAAUGGUAGUGCAACGGUAUCGUAAACCGUAGGUUGUGGGUUCAAAUCCCACCGUUGGCU